Oreochromis aureus is the source of this 440-nucleotide long non-coding RNA. The record is from Ensembl. Lineage: Eukaryota; Metazoa; Chordata; Actinopteri; Cichliformes; Cichlidae.
GUGAAGACAUACUACAAGAGUAUCAAACAACAGAAAUCCUAAUUGAUGACACAAGAAGACAAAUGGUUAACAUCCUGGUGGCUCACAUGAUUGUGAGUGGGUAUAUAUACACCUCCCCACAAAAGCAGUCAGAGAGAAGUAUCCUCUUGGUAUUUUGAUGCUGUUCCCUUCCCUGAAGAAUCCAUAUUCUAAGAAAGGCUAUGAACACUUCUGUGAUGCUGCAAGCACAGGAUACCUGUGGAUUCUUGGCGUCUGAAAACAGUCCAAAGACAAAUUUGGCGAAGAUCUGCGGUGCCACUAAAUAGCUCUGUCUGCUCAAUCAUACUACAGAAAAUUGCCUGAUUUUCUAGAAGAUGAGAGAGGCAUUUCAGCACUGUCAGAAGCUUGUUAAUGAGACAGGCAGAAGUGCUGAAAUCCUCUCUGUCUUCCCAAGAUUCCUG